Molecule: ribosomal RNA, 708 nt
Filed under: uncultured bacterium
Lineage: Bacteria
Description: bacterial SSU rRNA
Rfam family: Bacterial small subunit ribosomal RNA
Source: RNAcentral
CUAAUACAUGCAAGUCGAGCGCGGGAAGCAGAAAGAUUCCUUCGGGAUGACAUCUGUGGAACGAGCGGCGGAUGGGUGAGUAACACGUGGGCAACCUGCCUGUAAGACUGGGAUAACUCCGGGAAACCGGGGCUAAUACCGGAUAGAGUUUUCUCUCGCAUGAGAGGAAACGGAAAGGCGGCUUCGGCUGUCACUUACAGAUGGGCCCGCGGCGCAUUAGCUAGUUGGUGGGGUAACGGCUCACCAAGGCGACGAUGCGUAGCCGACCUGAGAGGGUGAUCGGCCACAUUGGGACUGAGACACGGCCCAGACUCCUACGGGAGGCAGCAGUAGGGAAUCUUCCGCAAUGGACGAAAGUCUGACGGAGCAACGCCGCGUGAACGAAGAAGGUUUUCGGAUCGUAAAGUUCUGUUGUUAGGGAAGAACAAGUACCGUUUGAAUAAGGCGGUACCUUGACGGUACCUAUCGAGAAAGCCCCGGCUAACUACGUGCCAGCAGCCGCGGUAAUACGUAGGGGGCAAGCGUUGUCCGGAUUUAUUGGGCGUAAAGCGCGCGUAGGCGGUUUCUUAAGUCUGAUGUGAAAUCUUGCGGCUCAACCGCAAGCGGUCAUUGGAAACUGGGGAACUUGAGUGCAGAAGAGGAGAGUGGAAUUCCACGUGUAGCGGUGAAAUGCGUAGAGAUGUGGAGGAACACCAGUGGCGAAGGCGA